This 483-nucleotide ribosomal RNA is filed under the name uncultured bacterium. RNAcentral's name for it is "partial 16S ribosomal RNA". It matches the Rfam family "Bacterial small subunit ribosomal RNA", at positions 27 to 507 of the family's 1533-position model. The record is from RNAcentral.
GAUUGAACGCUGGCGGCAUGCUUUCCACCUGCAAGUCGAACGGUAACAGGCCGCAAGGUGCUGACGAGUGGCGAACGGGUGAGUAAUGCAUCGGAACGUGCCCAGUCGUGGGGGAUAACUACUCGAAAGAGUAGCUAAUACCGCAUACGAUCUAUGGAUGAAAGCGGGGGACCGUAAGGCCUCGCGCGAUUGGAGCGGCCGAUGUCAGAUUAGGUAGUUGGUGGGGUAAAGGCUCACCAAGCCAACGAUCUGUAGCUGGUCUGAGAGGACGACCAGCCACACUGGGACUGAGACACGGCCCAGACUCCUACGGGAGGCAGCAGUGGGGAAUUUUGGACAAUGGGCGCAAGCCUGAUCCAGCAAUGCCGCGUGCAGGAAGAAGGCCUUCGGGUUGUAAACUGCUUUUGUACGGAACGAAACGGCUCUGGUUAAUACCCGGGGCUAAUGACGGUACCGUAAGAAUAAGCACCGGCUAACUACGUG